This 613-nucleotide long non-coding RNA is filed under the name Vigna radiata. Its description in RNAcentral is "long non-coding RNA (VRAD_LNC008139)". The record is from RNAcentral. Lineage: Eukaryota; Viridiplantae; Streptophyta; Magnoliopsida; Fabales; Fabaceae.
ACUCAAACUAUAAGUAUGACUUUGGUUGUCCUUAGUUUGCUUAAAGAUGGAAAAACAAGCUAACUCAUGUGCAUAUAUUUUCAAACUUGCCUUGCUCAUAGAUUGGUUGAGAAUGGACAAGCAAACUAAUUCAUGUGUAACUCUUUCUAAGUUUGUGUCCAAACAAAAAAAAAACAAUUUUGACUUUUCAAAGUAAUUAAUAAAAAACCUAACAAAUUAUCAAACACAAUUUCGUUGAAUUCCAAACUCGUAUUUGCCUUUUUUGUCAGCUUUCUUCACUUCAUUCUUGUUGUCGUUGCUCAUUUAUGAAUAAAAAUUUUCUAGGUAAUAUCAUAUUCUCUUCUCUCCAUUAUUGGUGCCACUUCUUCUUCAUAAACCAUUCUUCCGUAAUCAAUAAAACAAAAUGAGAUGAAUUAGUACAUCCUUUAAAUGACAAAUCGGGAUGUUAUUUUCUUUCUUUUUCCUUUUCUCUUUUUUUGUUCUCCUUUAUUUCUUUACUUCUUUUUCUCUCUUUUCUUUCUCUUCUUUAUCUUCUUUCUCUCUCUUUUCUUUCUCUUCUCUUUCCCUUAUUUCUUUUGCUUCAUUUUCUUAUGCUCUCUUUAGCUUCCGUCCU